CCUACGGGAGGCUGCAGUCGAGAAUCAUUCACAAUGGGGGAAACCCUGAUGGUGCGACGCCGCGUGGGGGAAUGAAGGUCUUCGGAUUGUAAACCCCUGUCAUGUGGGAGCAAAUUAAAAAGAUAGUACCACAAGAGGAAGAGACGGCUAACUCUGUGCCAGCAGCCGCGGUAAUACAGAGGUCUCAAGCGGUGUUCGGAAUCACUGGGCGUAAGGCGUGCGUAGGCUGUUUCGUAAGUCGUGUGUGAAAGGCGCGGGCUCAACCCGCGGACGGCACAUGAUACUGCGAGACUAGAGUAAUGGAGGGGGAACCGGAAUUCUCGGUGUAGCAGUGAAAUGCGUAGAUAUCGAGAGGAACACUCGUGGCGAAGGCGGGUUCCUGGACAUUAACUGACGCUGAGGCACGAAGGCCAGGGGAGCGAAAGGGAUUAGAUACCCGAGUAGUC
This 446-nucleotide ribosomal RNA is filed under the name uncultured bacterium. RNAcentral describes it as "partial 16S ribosomal RNA". It matches the Rfam family "Bacterial small subunit ribosomal RNA", at positions 338 to 795 of the family's 1533-position model. The record is from RNAcentral.